GAAGAUCCGGAUAGUGCAUCCCGGCCACGGCGCGCCUGCUCUGGGCUCUCCGCGUGCCGCGUCGCUUUCUUUUCUUCCUCUGGAGCAGUUAUGGCGGCGGCGAAGACCCUGAACCCCAAGGCCAAGGUGGCCGGAGCGCAGGCGGCGCUGGCGUUCAACAUUAGCGGGGCGCGGGGUCUGCAGGACGUGCUGAGGACCAACCUGGGGCCCAAAGGGACCAUAAAGAUCAAAUUCAACACCCAACAGCUUCCUUAAUAGCAAAGGUAGCAACAGCCCAGGAUGAUAUAACUGGUGAUGGGCCUUCAUCCCAGAAUAAUCACUGAAGGAUUUGAAGCUGUGAAGGAAAAGCCCUUCAUUUUUUGGAAGAAGUCAAAGUAAGCAGAGAGAUGGACAAGGAAACACUUAAAGAUGUGGCCAGGGCAUCUCUUUGUACUAAAGUUCAUGCUGAACUUGCAGAUGUCUUAACAGAGGCUGUAGUGGGCUCCAUUUUGGCCAUUAAAAGAAAAGAUGAACCUAUUGAUCUCUUCAUGAUUUUGUGAUCAUUGACAAGAAACAUAAAUCUGAAACUGAUACAAGAGAAGUGAAUUCUGGCGUUUUUUACAAGAGUGCAGAAAGAGAAAAACUCAUAAAAGCUGAAAGAAAAUUCAUUGAAGAUAGAGUUAAAACAAAUAAUAGAACUGAAAAGGAAAGUCUGUAGUAAUUCAGAUAAAGGAUUUGUUAUUAAUCAAAAGGGAAUUGACCCCUUUUCCUUAGAUGCUCUUUCAAAGAAGGCAUAGUCGCUCUUCACAGAGCUAAAAGGAGGAAUAUGGAGAGGCUGACUCUUGCUUGUGGUGGGGUGGCCCUGAAUUCUUUUGAGGACCUAAGUCCUGACUGCUUGAGACAUGCAGGACUUGUAUAUGAGUAUACAUUGGGAGAAGUUCACCUUUAUUGAGAAGUGUAACAACCCUCGUUCUGUCACAUUAUUGAUCAAAGGACCAAAUAAGCCCACACUUAGAUCAAAGAUGCAGUAAGGGAUGGCUUGAGGGCUGUCAAAAAUGCUAUUGAUGAUGGCUGUGUGGUUCCGGUGCUGGUGCCGUGGAAGUGGCAAUGGCAGAAGCCCUGAAUAAAUAUAAGCUCAGUGUAAAGGGCAAGGCACAGCUUGGAGUCCAAGCAUUUGCUGAUGUGUUGCUCGUUAUUCCCAAGGUGAGCCCGUGGUAGCAGCAGAAGCAGGCAUUAUGGGAUAACGAUUGUGUAAAGAAACAGCUUCUUCAUUCCUGCACUGGUUGCCACCAACAUUCUCUUGGUUGAUGAGAUCAUGCGAGCUGGAAUCUUCUCUGAAAGGUUGAAUUGAAGCUUCCUCUGUAUCUGAGUCUUGAAGACUCUGCAAAGUGAUCCUGAAGAAUACAGCUGUGGAAUUUUUGUCCAAGCUUCAAAUGAGUUUCAAGGGAAUUUUCCCAUGUGAAAAAAGGAGAGAACACUGGCAUCUGUUGAAAUUCGGAAGUUCUGAAAUUAUAAUCACAGUAUUUUUUAAAAAUUGCACUGAAGUGUACACAGAUAAAGCAGGUCUUUCACCCAGUGAACAGGAUGUUUUGCUUUAGCAGCAGUGACAUAAAAUUCCAUGUUAAAUAAGCAUAUAUUACCUACCUUAUUAAAUAUUCCUUGAAAAAGCAGAUUUUAAUGGUUUAAUUUUAUGUGGACAUAUGUUAAAUUAUUCAGCAGUACCCUAUUGUUAAGCAUCUGGUUUUAAAAUUUUUAUGCUAAUAUAAAUAACGCUUAGUAAUUUAAAAUUUUGGAAGCAUCCCGUUAGUGUAAAUUUCUGAGUAAAUUUAUUGAUCAGUUGGACUUUUCACGCUUUUGAAAUAGCUUUGCUAAAAUGCUCCCCCUACAAAGUUGUAGGAAAUGGGAAGAGGAGUAAACUAGAGGCAAGGGAGUUGAGAGAGCUGGAAGGCAUGGUGGCUAAGGGCUACGGUUAUCAGGUGAAAUUUGAGAUUUGUAGGCUGACUAUAUUUUCAAGCUUCUGAACUUUUGCUUAUGCAAAAUAUUCAUCCCAAAGCCUCUAGCGUCAUAGUUUCCUCACCCAAAUUACUAUGUUUCCACAAGAUUUAUAUAGUUGGUCUAUCUCUGCGGUCCUUGAAAGUGAAGUUGGUGUUACUAGGCUGUGGGUUUUGGGGGCUCAGCAGUGACCUGGAGUGUGCAAAUAAAUGUUAAGUUGAAACCUC
Molecule: long non-coding RNA, 2198 nt
Filed under: Homo sapiens (human)
Lineage: Eukaryota; Metazoa; Chordata; Mammalia; Primates; Hominidae
Description: novel transcript
Source: RNAcentral